CCCCCAUAGCAUCGAUCCUUCAUAAAUCACAUUGAUCACAUCUGCCAUCGGUUGAACAUGAGUUUCUUCCUCAGCAUACGACUAGGGCUGAGGAUCAGCAGGCAGCUGCACAGGUCGAUCUCGCAGAUAUUUUUUGAGAUAUCUCCACCUAAUCAAAGCUUCUAUCUCAUCUUUUAGUUGGAUAUACUGUUUGGUAUCAUGAUCGUGGUCUCGAUGGAACCGACAAUAUUAUUUCUUAUUCUGAGAUGUCGACAGUGCUUUUAUCAACUGGGGUCAUUAAAGGUAGAUCUCACCUUCUAUCUCCAUAAAGAUCUACGCACGAGGAGCAAUAAGAGGGGUGCAAGAGUUAUACCUGCUGUCGAAGUUCUUUGACUUCAGACUUGAUCGAUGAGGUGGAGCCUCCCCCUCAACAUGGGUUUUGCUAGGUCUCGCUGAGGUUCCACCUUUCUUCAUUCAUUUUUUAUCUUUAUCUUUGGAUUGGCAUCGGUCAGUUGCAUCUUCCUCAGUGCAAAUAUACUUUUGUGCGUGCUCAAGAAGUUUGGCAUA
Molecule: long non-coding RNA, 546 nt
Filed under: Elaeis guineensis (African oil palm)
Lineage: Eukaryota; Viridiplantae; Streptophyta; Magnoliopsida; Arecales; Arecaceae
Description: long non-coding RNA (EGUI_LNC001721)
Source: RNAcentral